RNAcentral lists this ribosomal RNA (484 nucleotides) under uncultured bacterium. Its description in RNAcentral is "partial 16S ribosomal RNA". It matches the Rfam family "Bacterial small subunit ribosomal RNA", at positions 30 to 507 of the family's 1533-position model. The record is from RNAcentral.
AUUGAACGCUGGCGGCAUGCCUUACACAUGCAAGUCGAACGGCAGCACGGACUUCGGUCUGGUGGCGAGUGGCGAACGGGUGAGUAAUGUAUCGGAACGUACCUUUCAGUGGGGGAUAACGUAGCGAAAGUUACGCUAAUACCGCAUAUUCUGUGAGCAGGAAAGCAGGGGAUCGAAAGACCUUGCGCUGAUUGAGCGGCCGAUAUCAGAUUAGCUAGUUGGUGGGGUAAAGGCCUACCAAGGCGACGAUCUGUAGCGGGUCUGAGAGGAUGAUCCGCCACACUGGAACUGAGACACGGUCCAGACUCCUACGGGAGGCAGCAGUGGGGAAUUUUGGACAAUGGGGGCAACCCUGAUCCAGCCAUGCCGCGUGAGUGAAGAAGGCCUUCGGGUUGUAAAGCUCUUUCGGCCGGGAAGAAAUCGCUUAGGCUAAUACCCUGUGUGGAUGACGGUACCGGAAUAAGAAGCACCGGCUAACUACGUG